GCUGACCUCUUUGCAGCUGGGAGCAUGAAUCUGGUUGAACCCACCGCUCAGAAUGCUCCCCGGCCGUUGAGAGGAUCCCAGUGCUUUUUCUUUCUUUCUUUCUUUCUUUCUUCUUCUUCUUUUUUUUUUUUUUGUUAAUUCUUAGUCCCCUUUCUGUUUGUUUUAGGUGUUCUAAGGGGCCCAGAGUCCUGUGCUGAAGAACAUGGCGUUUGGAGCCAGAUGUUCAUGGAUUUGAAUCCCGACGCCACCCCAACUUAAUGACUGUGACCUAGAAUGAAUUACUUCAUCUCCGUCCACCAAAUAAAAAAAAUCAGUCCUCAGCAAACUGGAGACUUUGCUGUGCUCAUCAGUUUCCUGACCCGGAGGACGAACCCGUGCUAAAGUAUCUUCCCCUUUUGAUUCUCCGAUUCCACAUAACCUCAGCAGAAGUCGUGUCACUGACAGUCCUGCGGGGGACUGCGGUCUUCAUUCUCCCUACAUUUUCAUCAGCGCAAGUGGCGGCAUGUGGCAGCUUUAAAGGAAUACGGCCUCUCUGAGUCAACUGGCCAAGAGGUAGACCUUUCGCAGGGCAGGCUGUGGGACAAGAGAGUCUUAAAACCAGGUCAGAGAGAGGAUUAUGGCUUCUGGCCUCCCACUCACUCAGCCUCUCCGGCUGGCCCAGCUGCCACGGGCCUUCUAGAGACGAACAUCACGGGCACCCACCGAUGCACUCAUCCCACCGCUCCCUCCCCUUUCUCUGACCGGUUCCAUCCAGUGUCUGCCCACGCACCUCCCCCCCCCCCCUAAAUAAAAUAUUACAGAGACCGUUGAA
Long non-coding RNA from Lutra lutra (Eurasian river otter), 811 nucleotides. RefSeq lists it as uncharacterized. NCBI's taxonomy places the organism in Eukaryota, Metazoa, Chordata, Mammalia, Carnivora, Mustelidae. The record is from RefSeq and is a predicted model, not a curated record. The transcript is spliced from 4 exons.